GCUCCUCCCGAACCGCAGCCCCGGCGCUGCCGCAGAGCGCCCGGCCCGGCCCCCAGCGCCGCAGCCCGGGGCGGGCGCGGCCUCCUCGCACCGCCCGGACGGGAACGGCGGCGCCGAGCGGCCGAGCCGGGGGCGAUCACAGCCCGGGCACAGCGGGCUGCGCUGGGCUGGGCUGGGCAGGAGGGUCUCCGGAGCGCUCCUGCCCCUCAGCCGCGACGGGAGCGGGCCGGGGGACAGGACGGAAGACGACCCGGGGGUGGUGCGGGGCUGUGCCCGUGGCCGGCGCUGGGGAGAAGCCGCGCGGUGCCUCCUGCGGGAGGCUGGGCCCGGAGGGGCUCCCGCGGACCUACUGCCACGCCACAAGGUACGGGGGGAGAAGGUCCGACGCCCUGUGGGACAUUGCCAAUGUCCCCGCAGCCUCCCUGCGGUGCCAGCCUUUGGCUUUUGUUUCGGGAGUCUUUGGAAGGCAGUGCAAAGGAAGGCGUUUGUCCAGCCCACUGGCCUCGUCCUGCAUUGCUGGCACGGAGACCAUUAUCUCUGCAAGUGCUCAUCGCCAGCCUGGAAGCGGUCCCUGGGACUGGGUAACCAUGGCAAAAACAGAGCAGUUCUUCUGCAUCUCAGUGGAGCACUGACCAAGGCAGCACAGGCAAAGCUGCUCUGGGCUGGCCAUGCUCCCAGGUAAUGGUCCUGUGGUGCUGGGGCUUCUCUUCACCUUUGGCUCCAUUUAAUCUCUUGUUUGGCAAAACAACACAGUGCUCCUCUCCUUUGUUACUUGAACUAUCUCCAAAGACUGCUAAAGGCCAUGGGAGAGCCAGGGAAGUGUCCUGGCAGCCCUUGCGCUCUGUCUGCCCGGAGGCAGUGCUGCAGGUACUCCACAGAAAGGCUUAGUGCCUCUCUAGCUGUGCUCCUCAGCCCCUGGGAGCAGGGCAGGGGAGCAGCACACCUUCUCUGCACCCAUCUCCAGAGGCUCUGUGGCACCGUGGUAUAUCCCAGUGACACCACCGAUGGGGCAAGGCCAGCCCUUCGAAGCUGGAGAGCCUAACGAGCUCCAGAAGACAUCCUCACUCUUUCCCACAGGGAGCAGCAAAUCUGACUGGCAGACAAAAGAAAAUGUGGUUACAUCUAAAUACUGGCAAUUUCAACAGAGUGGGUCAGGAUUCGUGAAAAUCUUUGUCGAGAAUCAUUACAGGCUGCACAGGGGUAACAGGAAAUAAAGGUUGUCUUUAGGGUUCUGCUACUGUAGGAGAAUGGAACCCAAAAUUUCACUUGCCCCAAACCAGUUCAUACUUGAAUUAUGGCAACUCAGACUUCUCCUCAUAAACAUGCCAGAACGAGUGUGAUGAUUCAGCUUACUGUGGUUUUAUGUCCUAAAGUACUGGUCCCUUGCCACUACUGCUUUUGAGUUUGAAAUUGCUUGUGCUAUUAUCUCGAUUAUUUUUUUAAUUAUUUAUAUAGGCAGUGUGGGAAAAGCAAUGAGAGUGAUUACACUUGAAAUGAGAACUCUGUUUGAAUGAGUUUUUGAGUCACACUGUGCCUAAACUACACCAUCAGGCAAAUAGAGGAAAACUCCCAAAUGGCACAAAGCUUUGGCCUCUACCUCCAGAACCACGUCAGCCCUGGGAUCUCCAACCAAAAUGUGGAGGAGUGUGGCAGGGCUCCAGUGCUCCCAACUGCCUCCUUUCUGCCUCCAGGUCAGUUUUCUUCCCCCGCAGUCAUAAGACCAAGGGUCUGGCUGAAGAGCAACUGGAGUGAAAAGCUGUAUGUGAAAAUUUAUACAUUUGUUCUCAAGGAUGACAAUGCAGCAAGUGCUUUUAUCCCAAUAAUAUGGGUUUGUUAGGAUACCCUGAAUGUCUUUGGAACCCAGCAGGUUCUCUACUGAUCCUGCCCUGCUUCCAGAAGUAUUUCCCCUUCUUCCCUGAUAAAGUUGCUUUGGCACUGACUUCCAUGAACCUUAGACCGGAGAUCAGAAGUUACUUUCCAGAUCAUAACUGGAUAGUGAAGCUUUAAAAGAGAACCAAGUCCACUAGAAUUUCAGUCUGGGCCCCCAUUCCACAUAUUCAUUCUAAGCCUACAUCUACCUGCUCUUCCCUUUUCCAUAUCCAUUUUCUAAGAUGAUGCAGCAGCUGGGUAUUACAGUGGCAGAGAAAGACACUUGAUUUCUUCUACCUUUCCUGACAAUAGAAGGAUAAGAAAGACUCAACAACACAGAAUUAUGGCUAAAACAGAUGCCCAGAACUGAAAUGCUUUUUCUCCCAGCAGGGCUAAAGCUCAGCACAACAGUAAAAUUGCGAGAGCAUAGCCUGGUUCAGCUUUUAAGCACUGCAGAGGGCUAUAAGGAUACCUAAGCUGCACAUAAUCUUGCCAAGUAGGAAACAGCUGACUUUAAGUUCUGCAGACGCUGGAUGUAGCGCGUGGCUGCGCAUGGAUUUUGGAGACAUCCAUGGUGGGAAAAUACUGCAUCUCUCAUGCAGUCUCUGGUUACCAAGGCAAACGCAGUUAAGGCACAAAAAGCAAAAUGAGUAAGUUGUUCUUCACAAGCAACCCCUGCAUUCCCAGCUGCACUUCAUUUGCUGGAAACCUCCUCCACUUAUCACUGGGCUUUCAGAUGUCCACAGACCUACAGCCUUACCGACAUCUCCAGCUGCUGGACUUCCAGGCCUUGAGAUGCCAUAUGUUGGGUCUUGUGACAGAAGAGUUCAUAAUCCACUGGAGCAAGGCUGACCCGUGAGCAGACAGGGGUGCACACAAGGAAGGGCUGCUCCAGCAGACGUGGAUGCACAUAUGGAAGAGCUGCUCCAGCAGUGCUCCCAUGAGCACAGGGCUGUGGUAGGAAAGCAGCUAGGCAGGGCUGUGAUUGCCCUCCUUUCCCAGCAGCUUCUGUACCCAUCUCAGCUGCUGGCUGAUGGUUGUAGGCCAGAGUAACAUGCGUCUGGUGUGUGGGAUACUGGAAAAAUGCUGCAACCCCUCCCUUUUAUGGGGUCUGUGUAUGGAUCUAGAGGCUUAACAUUAGGUGGCCAAAUUUAUGAUGUGUUGUAUAGGUGCAAUGUUAUGUAACUGGAGAGGAAAUUAAAGUGCAAGUAAUGCACUGUAUUAAUUUAGGACUAGUUAACAGCAACUAAUUUAAAACAAUUAUAUGGACAGGCAGACAUCAGCUAUAGCAUUUAUAUAGAUGCAAAGACAUCUACCUCAGUGCAGAGGUUACCCCUUUAAAAACAGGAAGAAUCCAAGUUUAUGAAAGACGGGGUGGGUAGUGUUAGUGUUAUUUGUAAUGGUAUUGUCAGUGUUUCUUGUCUCAAGUUCUUAGAAAGAAAAUUCUUCAGGCAAUGGAGAAGAUGGAAGAGUCAACUCUAAGCAAUUCCAGGUACCUUAAAGCUAACAGGAAGGGCCCCUCAGCACUGCUUUCCGGCCUUUGGUGGCCCAGGGUUGGAAUUAAACGUGCAGAAGUUUAAUUCAAACAAACUUGCUGCAGGGCUUACACAUGCACAGUUAGACUUUUCUGAAUAAAGUCACCAUUCAUGUUAAUGUUUGUGUUAAAAUACUGACAAGCAUUUUCCUUUUCCUCGAAGGAAACUUGAAUCCAUGACCUGCAGUAACAGGUAUUUCUAAUGCUUGAUACAUCAAAAUGGUUCUGCCAGCCCCCUGCCCAACAGCGCACCAAGUACAGCUUUGCAGGCCUCCGUCCUUCUUGGUCCCAGCACAUUUCAAAUUCUCUUCCCAGGCACUAAGUCUCCAUGAACUCUACUCUAGUCUUUUAUAACUUUAUUUUACCUUAAGACAAAACCAAGGCAGGAGCAGAAAAGAGAAGUUAAGGUAGAGAAACAUUAACUCCCACAUGCUGGUGCUGUUGCUAUCCCUGCAGUGAUCCAGAUGCUGUUGUGCCAGCCAAGCAGCCUCUGCAUUGCCUGCAAUGACAUCUUAGAUUGCGGCACAGGCAAAAGGACGGAUUUAAUCAAUGACAGCAGCACUGCAGUCUGUCCUUACACUAUGAAACACAGGCUCCCAGCCCUGGUUUGCAUGUAUUUGCUGCUAGCCAGGAGAUUUAAAAGUGUGAAAAUUUAGGGCUACUAAAAAUCCACCUCGUGUGUUCUGAACAACCUCCCUGGUUACUGUUUUUCCCCCAAACAUUGGAAUAUUCUAUUUCCCUAACUACAGUUUUGCUCUGUGCUUUUUCACUUAAAUGGCUGCAGUCUUAUGUUACUUGUCAGCUUCAGGAGACAAUCACACAUGCAACAUUUUUGUCCUGUCAGCUGGUAGUGGUUUUCAAAACAGGAUGCCUAUUUUUCCCCCCAUUAUUUGCAACAGUGAGACACAGAAGUCUGAGCUUUUGUUUUCAGUUGGUUAUGCAGGUUCAACCUGGUGAAUCAUUCUUCCUGCAGCUACAUUUCCAGGAAAAGACAAAGGCCUGGCUCUUCUCCAAGUUAUCCAAGUCAGAUCAGAAAGCACUCCUUCUCCCACAGCUGGGACACUUUCUAAGAAGGGAGAAAUUGAUAAAACACAUCCCAGAGCUGGUGUCAUCACCCUGCAGACAGGCAAGGAGGUGCAUGGCCUUGGAAAGGCAUGUGCAGUACUAAGUCAGGGUUAAGAUAAUAGCAGAGUUUACUGGAUUUAAGAUUCUUGGCCCUGUGAAACACAAGCAUGUGCAAGGAGCCAUUCUCCAUUUCUGGGACUGAUGGUUACUGUGAAGCUGGAUGGUUUCCGGAAAAUCCUACAAUUUAAUUUCAAGCAUUUUAGACUCUCAUCUUGUUGCAGUUGGUGUGGACAAGAACAUAGCCUUGGAGCUGGGAAUUUUUCAAGAGCUGUUAUUCAGAUAGAAGCUGGUAACUAUGGUUUCAGACGUCUCCUCUCAGGGAUACUGCUGCUCACAGAUGAAGGGAGGCCUGGUUUUUCACGAUGAGGCAAAGGGCUUGUGUGGUU
Long non-coding RNA from Corapipo altera (White-ruffed manakin), 4914 nucleotides. RefSeq lists it as uncharacterized. The record is from RefSeq and is a predicted model, not a curated record. NCBI's taxonomy places the organism in Eukaryota, Metazoa, Chordata, Aves, Passeriformes, Pipridae. The transcript has 3 exons.